RNAcentral lists this unclassified non-coding RNA (757 nucleotides) under Bombus terrestris (buff-tailed bumblebee). RNAcentral's name for it is "misc RNA ENSBTSG00005021615.1". The record is from RNAcentral. Lineage: Eukaryota; Metazoa; Arthropoda; Insecta; Hymenoptera; Apidae.
GUUCUUAUCGAGGGAUCAGCAUGAAUGAGGAAGAGUGCGAAACCGGCGCGUAAUUAACAAUUAAAGAGAUACGUGUCUCUGGCGUGGUUGCAACUGGCACUCGUUUGCAAUCUUCGAAGAGCCAGAGAAGACAGCCUUUCGCGUAUCGUUUGAGACACGAAUUUAAUUAACCAUCGCACAGGCAAAUUACCGUGGUCGUCGUUUUUCGAUUACACGCGAUUCCUCGUAAUUCGAUCUAUCUUUCGACGAGUGAUACAAGCAGAAAAGGAACGCGUCUUCUUUUUGGAACUCACCUGUUUGAGCAACUGCCUACGCUUCGCUCUCACGUCCUUCUUGCAACUCACACCUUCUGGAACAAACGUAACAAAUGUGCAGGAAUCCCUAAGUGAGGAGUAUGAAAAUGGGAUUAGCCAGGCAAGUUGAGUAGAAAUUUGGAGAUACGAUUUCAGGGCUACGAAAUUUUAACGAGAACGAUUAAAGGGGAACAAAGAUGGAGAAAAAUGAACCGGUAUCGCGUGGAUCGUGGAUAGGCGUGGCAAACAUUUUAACAAGGACGUUCCCGUUAACGAGCGGCUCAAUUAAUAUCGAUAUGAGUGCAGGAUGACCUGAAACCGUGUGAUUCGCUUGGUUGACGAGCAACGCCACCCACGUCCUUCGUGUCCACUUGCACAGCCUACGAUCCAUUGCACCAUGGCCAAACGUUAGGUGGAGAACCUAAUUAAAAUCGAAGACGAACAGACAAAUGUGUGAAUUUAUC